This 301-nucleotide ribosomal RNA is filed under the name uncultured bacterium. Its description in RNAcentral is "partial 16S ribosomal RNA". It matches the Rfam family "Bacterial small subunit ribosomal RNA", at positions 509 to 807 of the family's 1533-position model. The record is from RNAcentral.
CAGCAGCCACGGUAAUACGAAGGGGGCUAGCGUUGUUCGGAUUUACUGGGCGUAAAGGGCGCGUAGGCGGAUUUGUAAGUCAGGGGUGAAAUCCCAAGGCUCAACCUUGGAACUGCCUUUGAUACUGUGGAUCUUGAGUCCGGGAGAGGUGAGUGGAACUGCGGGUGUAGAGGUGAAAUUCGUAGAUAUUCGCAAGAACACCAGUGGCGAAGGCGGCUCACUGGCCCGGAACUGACGCUGAGGCGCGAAAGCGUGGGGAGCAAACAGGAUUAGAUACCCCAGUAGUCCCUGUCUCUUAUAC